Cyanistes caeruleus (blue tit) is the source of this 519-nucleotide non-coding RNA. NCBI's taxonomy places the organism in Eukaryota, Metazoa, Chordata, Aves, Passeriformes, Paridae. The record is from RefSeq and is a predicted model, not a curated record.
GGUACACAGGAUGACAGAAUUUACUCAUGUUUCUACUUACAGGCAGAGGCUACAGGACAGAAGGAGGUUCUUGACUUCCUUAGACAAAAACAAUAAGAAAGGGGCUGUAGAAGAUGGUCAUCAGGAAUACCAGCUUGAAGCAUUAAUGGUGUUAAGCCAUUAUGGGAGGAAAAGAGGAAAGGAACAAUGGUAGCGCUGCUUGGGGCAUGCAGGAAAGCUACGGCUUAGAAAAAUUCUUUAUUUAGGAUUGCACUGAUUGUCUAAAAAUAAUUUGCUGCCUUUAUUUUUUAAUCACUUUUCUGGAAAGAAUUUUUUUUAGGCAAGUGAGGUUGGAAUGCUUGGCUGUUCCUGUUACAAGUUCUGAUUUUAAAGAGGCCUUUUGAAUGUUAUGUUAAACCUCUGAGGACAGUAUUGCAGGCAUAGCAAAUGGAAAUACUGUGGUGAAUUCAUACCAAGGAAAAACAGUGAAUUGUGCAUUUCUGGGUUUCAACUAAUAAAAUCUCUGAGGAACAAUGUUGA